CAAGAAAUGACAGUGGAGCUGACAGCUCUAUUAGCUGCAGACACAGGACAGGCAAAAGCUGUUGUAUCACCUCUGAAUAAUGAGCUGGAUUUCAGAAUGCAGCCCAGAUUCUUGCAGGACAAACCGUGAUGUGGCAGAUGGAGAGUACUGGAAUUGCUGUAUCUCUGCAGAGGAAGAAGUGCAAAAAAAAUUUUCAUGUCUGCCUGAGAAGUGCAGAUAUGGAAAGUGUUCCAUGGGACUAGAGAGUGACAAGGAAUUCAGAAGCUGCAAGGCAUUAAUGAGGUGCAUUGAUUUAAUUAGCCAGCGUAACAUCAUUCAUCACGGCAACCACGAGAGACGUGCCCGUAACAGCGACUGCCUGAAGGUCACACUCACACAAAACAUUUCUCCUGUGCCACACAAAUGUCCUGCUGUAAGGACAGGCUCUGAAGACCUGCUCUACCCAGGCUUAGAAAGAAGUCACUGAAAGGCAAUUUUGAAAAGCUUCCACAUGAAUAACAGAGUGAUAUAUGUUGUAAUCAGGUCCAUUCAACAUCUUAAUAAUGUGAAGUUUCUGGAUUCCCAAUGUUUAUUGGACUUAAAUGUGGGAAGUAAACAGUAAGGACUAAUUUUAAGAUUGUUGUCUGUAAUAGAGUCAAAAUCAUCAAGUUUUAGGACAUUUCAUGAUUUUAUACCAGCACAUCCAUGCCUGUCAGCCUUUUCUGCCUGUGUCUUGCCUGUUCAUUAUUCAGGAAAGAACUUAAAUAAUGAUGAGGCUCUGAAAGAAUUCUCAGUAGCAAAAAGCUUCAUAAGGGUUCAUUUAUGGUCUCAGCUACAUAGGGGUAAGACUCAAGUACACUGAUAAAGUGAAAAGAACUCCUGGGGACACAUGCUGCCAUAAAUGGGUGUUGCAUAUAACUAAAGCCCUACACAAUAAGGGCCUUGUUGCCCUUGUAAAAUCAUGGCUCAGGGCUGCUACUCCGACUAAGUGGGACUAUAGGAAAGUGACUCAGCUGAAUUAGAGGCAGAAAAAAAAUUAAAUAAUCAUUGUGUGUUCACAUCCUGGUGUAUGGUGGUUGGUUGGAUUAUGUUUGUUAUGAUUUAAAAUUGUGUACUGAUAAAGGCCUAACUGCUUAAAAAGGCUUAGUUUUUGCAAUAAAGGGCUCUCCUUUGCACCUGC
Prinia subflava (tawny-flanked prinia) is the source of this 1159-nucleotide long non-coding RNA. RefSeq lists it as uncharacterized. The record is from RefSeq and is a predicted model, not a curated record. The transcript has 2 exons. NCBI's taxonomy places the organism in Eukaryota, Metazoa, Chordata, Aves, Passeriformes, Cisticolidae.